Long non-coding RNA from Cynocephalus volans (Philippine flying lemur), 1249 nucleotides. RefSeq lists it as uncharacterized. The transcript has 4 exons. Lineage: Eukaryota; Metazoa; Chordata; Mammalia; Dermoptera; Cynocephalidae. The record is from RefSeq and is a predicted model, not a curated record.
CCGCGCGGCUCAGGAAGGACAAGUAGGACGCUAAGGCGAGCAAACGCUCCCACGCAGAGGCUGUGGGAAAAUGACUCAGAGCUGCCUUAGUCCCCCUGCCCCGGGCCCGCGCAGCCCGGGGGAUGGGGGCGCCAGAGCCGGGCGCAGGUGUGCGCGGGCAGGGGGGACGCGGGCUCUCCCAGGCAGCGACUGCGCAGUGUGACACUGAGUCCCUGGGCCUUAGUCAGGGUCUGCACCAAGGAAGAGCCCUGAGUGCACCGCCUCCUCCACACGUGGUCUCAUCUCUCCUUUAAUCUUCAAGGCCACACUCUGAGAACGCUUCUCAAGGGCUCAAUAUCAUUCAUUUCCAUUUAUCCUUUUCCUAACCUAGCAUCUGGAAAUUGGUAAGCAUACAGAAUAUGGAUGAUAAAGGAAUGGAUGGAUGGUCGAUGGAUGGAUGGACGGAGUCGAUGAAAGAAAUAACGACUGGAAGGAUGAAUGGGUGAGGGUGAGGAAGCACUGUCCAGCCUGUCCUUUGCUUGAAUCCAUGGAGCAGCUAUUAGAGGAAUCUAAAGGUAAAUGGUAGCAGACAGAUUGGUGAAGAAAACCAGAUUUAGAUGUUCCAUCCAACCCGCUGCCAUUUAGCCCAGAGGCAGCUGCAGCCACAGGAAGUGUGUGCAGAGGGAAGUAACUAAAGACCCAGUUUUCUGGACAAAGGAUCAAAGGAGGAACUUCAGGGACCUGGAAAGUAAUGCGAAGACUAUACAGUGGGUGGAACGUGGGAAGGAGACCCUAUAAAAUUGUUUGUGAACUCCUGGGCUCACCUUUGAUCUGUGCAAGCAUUCUAAACAGCUUCCCAAAGCCUGAGAACUGACUCCACCACCCACACGUAGAGCACACACAUGGGACAGAUCUGAAGAGUACUGCAGAAACUGAACUGAUAUUGGAACCACGGAUCGUGGAAGAUGGAUGGGAAUUUGCAGUCUGGAACCUAACCCAGUCAUUGGACUGCCAAAAAUAUUAAGUUUUCCACAGGAGAAAGACAUAAAUCUAUAGACUCAAAAGCUCAAAGAACCCAAUCCCCAUCCAGACAUGUCAUAAUUAAUUGUCUGAAAAUUAAGGACAAUGAGAAAUCCUAAAAGUAGCUACAUAUAGGGGAAUAAAGAUUUGAAUGACUGAGGUUUAUUAGCAGAAACUAUGGAGGCCAGAAGAAAAGGAAAUAAACAACAGUUUUGAAUUGCUGAAAGAAAAGUACUGUCAGAAUUCUAUU